Eupeodes corollae is the source of this 514-nucleotide long non-coding RNA. RefSeq lists it as uncharacterized. NCBI's taxonomy places the organism in Eukaryota, Metazoa, Arthropoda, Insecta, Diptera, Syrphidae. The record is from RefSeq and is a predicted model, not a curated record. The transcript is spliced from 2 exons.
AAAUAAUUGAAGAGAAUUCAGCUUCGUUCUGUUGUAAUUAUAUAUAAUUAUUUUCUGUGAAAACAAUACAAAAUUUGAUUAAUUUCUUGGCAAUAUUAUUGUUGUGCUUUCAGGAUCAGGGCAUAGACCACAGAAUGCUGGAUUUGCUCCUAGAUUCGUCUUCGUCCGAGGACGAAGAUAUCCUGACAAUUUUCAAUUGGACGACUUCGACGAUUGUUCAAGCUAAUGCAUUUUUAUCCAGGAAUGAAAGAAAUGCCAUUAAAAAUUUUGAAAACGUUGUAGAAAGAUAUACGGACACCAGACCGGUAGCAGCUAAUGAAAUUGAAUUCAAAACAAUAGACGAGAGGCGGGAUUAUUACUGUAAAUAUUUUAGUAUGCUUCUGACAGCUGCUACACUAAUACACUUACAAAAAGAUAUUGCUACGUUUUUUCUUUCCAUUGGAUCAAAAAAAUAUUGAUUUUUAGUAGCGACGGGCCGUCUAUUUGAUGUGGUUCAAUGGAAAUCGACAUAAGU